AUUGAACGCUGGCGGCAGGCCUAACACAUGCAAGUCGAGCGGAUGAAGGGAGCUUGCUCCUGGAUUCAGCGGCGGACGGGUGAGUAAUGUAUAGGAAUCUGCCUGGUAGUGGGGGAUAACGUCCGGAAACGGGGGCUAAUACGGCAUAAGUCCAGAGGGAGAACGUGGGGGAUCUUCGGACCUUACGCUAUUAGAUGAGCCUAGGUCGGAUUAGCUAGUUGGUGGGGUAAAGGCCUACCAAGGCGACGAUCCGUAACUGGUCUGAGAGGAUGAUCAGUCACACUGGAACUGAGACACGGUCCAGACUCCUACGGGAGGCAGCAGUGGGGAAUAUUGGACAAUGGGCGAAAGCCUGAUCCAGCCAUGCCGCGUGUGUGAAGAAGGUCUUCGGAUUGUAAAGCACUUUAGGUUGGGAGGAAAGGCAGUAAGUUAAUACCUUGCUGUUUUGACGUUACCAACAGAAUAAGCACCGGCUAACUUCGUG
This 484-nucleotide ribosomal RNA is filed under the name uncultured bacterium. RNAcentral's name for it is "partial 16S ribosomal RNA". It matches the Rfam family "Bacterial small subunit ribosomal RNA", at positions 30 to 507 of the family's 1533-position model. The record is from RNAcentral.